AAGUCGUAACAAGGUUUCCGUAGGUGAACCUGCGGAAGGAUCAUUACAGAGAGAGGUUUCACCGCCUCGGGGGGCUUCGGCCCCCAACUCUCCACCCCGUGCGUACCUUCUCUUCUGUUGCUUUGGUAGGCCUUUGAGGUCAAGCUCAUGCCGGCGCCGCCGGCGAGUGUCUGCCAGUAGCCCUUUCCGACUCGUUUUAUCAGUGACGUCCGAGUGCCAAUGUAAAUAAUCAAAA
RNAcentral lists this unclassified non-coding RNA (235 nucleotides) under plant metagenome. Its description in RNAcentral is "partial contains small subunit ribosomal RNA and internal transcribed spacer 1". The stretch from base 1 to 46 matches the Rfam family "Eukaryotic small subunit ribosomal RNA", at positions 1786 to 1831 of the family's 1831-position model. The record is from RNAcentral.